GCGGUCAUGCUGGAAUUGGUAGACAGGCACGGUUGAGGGCCGUGUGGGUUAUCCCGUGAGAGUUCAAGUCUCUCUGACCGCACCA
RNAcentral lists this transfer RNA (85 nucleotides) under Candidatus Pelagibacteraceae bacterium. Its description in RNAcentral is "tRNA-Leu". The record is from RNAcentral. Lineage: Bacteria; Pseudomonadati; Pseudomonadota; Alphaproteobacteria; Candidatus Pelagibacterales; Candidatus Pelagibacteraceae.